GACGAACGCUGGCGGCGUGCUUAACACAUGCAAGUCGAACGGAAAGGCCCUGCUUUUGUGGGGUGCUCGAGUGGCGAACGGGUGAGUAACACGUGAGUAACCUGCCCUUGACUUUGGGAUAACUUCAGGAAACUGGGGCUAAUACCGGAUAUGAGCUCCUGCUGCAUGGUGGGGGUUGGAAAGUUUCGGCGGUUGGGGAUGGACUCGCGGCUUAUAAGCUUGUUGGGGGGGUAGUGGCUUACCAAGGCUUUGACGGGUAGCCGGCCUGAGAGGGUGACCGGCCACAUUGGGACUGAGAUACGGCCCAGACUCCUACGGGAGGCAGCAGUGGGGAAUAUUGCACAAUGGGCGGAAGCCUGAUGCAGCAACGCCGCGUGCGGGAUGACGGCCUUCGGGUUGUAAACCGCUUUCGCCUGUGACGAAGCGUGAGUGACGGUAAUGGGUAAAGAAGCACCGGCUAACUACGUG
This 468-nucleotide ribosomal RNA is filed under the name uncultured bacterium. RNAcentral's name for it is "partial 16S ribosomal RNA". It matches the Rfam family "Bacterial small subunit ribosomal RNA", at positions 28 to 507 of the family's 1533-position model. The record is from RNAcentral.